RNAcentral lists this ribosomal RNA (468 nucleotides) under uncultured bacterium. Its description in RNAcentral is "partial 16S ribosomal RNA". It matches the Rfam family "Bacterial small subunit ribosomal RNA", at positions 28 to 507 of the family's 1533-position model. The record is from RNAcentral.
GACGAACGCUGGCGGCGUGCUUAACACAUGCAAGUCGAACGCAAAGGCCCUGCUUUUGUGGGGUGCUCGAGUGGCGAACGGGUGAGUAACACGUGAGUAACCUGCCCUUGACUUUGGGAUAACUUCAGGAAACUGGGGCUAAUACCGGAUAGGAGCUCCUGCUGCAUGGUGGGGGUUGGAAAGUUUCGGCGGUUGGGGAUGGACUCGCGGCUUAUCAGCUUGUUGGUGGGGUAGUGGCUUACCAAGGCUUUGACGGGUAGCCGGCCUGAGAGGGUGACCGGCCACAUUGGGACUGAGAUACGGCCCAGACUCCUACGGGAGGCAGCAGUGGGGAAUAUUGCACAAUGGGCGGAAGCCUGAUGCAGCAACGCCGCGUGCGGGAUGACGGCCUUCGGGUUGUAAACCGCUUUCGCCUGUGACGAAGCGUGAGUGACGGUAAUGGGUAAAGAAGCACCGGCUAACUACGUG